CCUGACUCCAUGUUUUCACUUGGAUGGACCCGAUGGGAUUGAUUCCAAGGAGAUUAGCUGCAGAUCCAUCUCCCACUUUGCUUAUGACGAAAAGUUUGUUUGGACUUUCUCACCAGGCUCUGGAAUAUUAUUCUGGAGAGUGAAGUCAGCCUGAAGGAUGUGGACUCACAGAUUCAGGGAAGCCAGCCUUCUUGAGGCAAUUAGGUUCAACACAGCUCAAUUCAACAAAUCUUCACUGAGUGCUUAACCUUGUGGAGGGGCUGGGUGAGGCACUUUGGGUGCCCCAGCACAUAAGCCCCAAUGGUACUUCCCCUCCUGCCGGGCCACUACCUGAAGAUGCUGUAAUAGGUGUGUGAACCUCCUGGUUUCCUCCCGCAUCCUAGCUUCCUCUCUGCCAUUUGUUGUGUGAUUCUGAUCUCAAGUGCAGUUGACCAAGUGGAUCAUAUUCUUCAUUUCCUGAUAUGGAAAGAAAUGAAGAAUGAUGGACCCAAUGACUGCCAACUUGUUUUGGAGAUGUUAUUAUUCCUCAUGGAGGAGAGGG
Molecule: long non-coding RNA, 541 nt
Organism: Bos taurus (domestic cattle)
Lineage: Eukaryota; Metazoa; Chordata; Mammalia; Artiodactyla; Bovidae
Source: Ensembl